AGCUUUUAACCCAUGGAUCCUUGGAAAAGGAAAGGUCAUGGGUUAUUAAGGUUUCACCCUAAUCAUGUACACUAUAUAAGCAUGCUUAUGUUGCAUGAAAUAGCCACUAGUGUGUCUAGAGUAUGUGUGUUUGUGUGUGGCCGAUUUUAUAAGUGUGUAUACACUCUCUCAAAGUUUUCCAAGAGUUUGUGGUGAUUUGUGAUUCCAUUUGAGGCAUUCACACUAUUGGUGCUUGGCCCUCAAACUCCUUAGGAAUUGAACUCAUCAUCAAAAGGUAUGUAAUCUCAUCUAAUUCUUUUAUGUUUAAAAGUACCCCAUGCCAUGUUAGAUAGGUUAUGAACCUUGGAAAAUUAUUAUUUUGCAUGUAUUUAGACAAACAUAGAUCCAAGGUUUAUUAGGGUUGCAUGCACACUUAGGAAGUGUUAGAUUGCUCAAAACCCAACAGUGGUAUCAGAGCCUAGGCUUGCUUGUUUGAUACUUGAUGCAAAAUAGUGAAAAAAGUUGAAAUUGUUGCUGUCUGGCUGAUGGACUCGCCGAGUCCAUGGGGGGACUCGCCGAGUUCAAGGCAAAAUUCAUCCUACUCGGCGAGUAGGUUCGUGCACUCGGCGAGUAGAAUGAUCAGAAUGCAGAAUUUCGACUUUUGCUGCUGGAAAUGGACUAGAAACAUUACCCUAAACUGUUUUGGUGUUUUAAAACUUGUUUUAGUUGGUGUAAUGGUUGUUCUAAUCCAUUUACAAUAGCAUAUAUCAAAAUUCCAUGAUUUUUAUGUGUUCAUAUAAUUCUUGAAAUUUUGAUGAUCAUGUUCAUGUUCUUAUGAAUUUAGAAGAUGAUAGGAAUUAUUUGCUGAAUUGUUUAGAAUUAAUUCUUGAUCAUUUAUGUGUUUUAAUGGAGUCCAUAAUUUGUCCUCAAGUUAUGGAUAUCCAAAGGUCACUUUUCUUUAACACACACAUUUAAACACAUAAGUUACAUGAAAAUGAAGAGUCUUCAUUUUUAUGAACCUUUAAUUCAUAAGUUAUGAAAUGAAAAGUUUUGGAUAGUUACAAAACUUGCCCUCAAGUUUUGGAAUUUGAAAAGUUUCACACACUUUAAUAAACUUUAAUUCCAACACUUAGAGUUUUAAAAGUUAAAAUUCAACACUUAUACUAUUUAUAACAUUAAUGGUUAAUUAUUAUAUAUAUGUAUAAGAACAAGUCGUUUUACCGUUAGUAGGCCUCAUUCACGAAGCCGGUCUAUAAGGUGGGUAUAAGGUUGUUGCCUAUAAAAUGGCGACUUAAUGGGUGUCCACUCUCACCCACCGCUUGCUUGAUCGGUGGAGGGUCGUUAGCCGAACGGGUAGGACAAUGACUUUAAAUUCUCAUUAAAAGUAUAAUGAUUAUUAUAAAGUAACUAAAAAUUUUUUAUUUAAUUCCCAAUCUUAGUUACUUUAGGAAAAAUGUGAAUUUGGUGCUAGCCCAUGGAAUUCACACUUUGUACCUUACCAAGUCGUUGGUGGAGCGUGUGUGGUUAACCGGCACACUAACUUGGACUAGUAAGGAUCACGAAGGGUGACUUAAUGUUUGUCAUAGAUCAAUGGAGCGUGUGUGGUUAACCGGCACAUUGAUUAGGUGAUAAUAUUAAGGGUACCAAGUGAAUUGGUAUGGUUAUUCACACCUUGUUUUGUGAUCCUCGGCAUCCCAGUCACAAAAUUUGAGAGGGCACACUCGAGAUUGAAACAUGCCAUUGAAAAGUUCAAUGAAUCUCAAAAGAUCUAGGAAUUUCAAAUCCAAUUAAAACCUAAUAAAUUAUUUCGUUUUUCAUGGUGGAAAUUGGUGAAUCGUCAUUCGCCUACCUUCAAAUAUUUUAUAGCUUGGAUUACGGCAUCCCUCUUCCAAAUUAUAAAAUAUUGUGUUGGGUCCUAGCCUUAAUAUUUCAUAUUGGGUGUUAUAUUAAGGACUUUGAAUCAACUAACUUGAUUUUCUCCCAUUAUAGAUGUCUGGUUCAGACAACUAUGAUCUUCCCAAAUCUCUUGAAGAUGGUGUCCCUCAACAUCAUGCUUCACUUCCUCCACCUCCUCCAAUUAUUCUCCCUCACCCACAAGUUCUUGAAAAGUUUAAAGUCACUCAAUCCCUAUUGGCAAGCAUAGUCUAUGUGUGCUCACAUCUUGGAGAUAAAGUCACAUAUUGACAAGCCGGGAGAGUUGGGUGUCAAAGUCUCGUGAAAGUUGGAUGUUCAAUCACUUUCUUAGUAACAUAGUGAGUCUCUUUGGGACUACUAUGAGACAGACUAUGACAUGACCCUUAAUGAUGUUAUCUAUUUGCUUGGUGUUGUGGAAUCAGCAAUGAUUUGGAACACCAGUAAAGCAAAUUUGAUUAAAAGAACAACUUCCCAAGUCUUAAAUGGACAUUGACAAUGGUAGCAUUGGAUAUCUAGAAAAGGAUUUCUCUUCCCAAUGGAAAGGGAUCGGCCAUAGUCAACUCGGUUGACCAAAUGGUAAAGAGAAAGGCUAAGUCUGAGAUAGUCUCAUGUGCCAUUACCAAAGGGUCCAUGUGUUUUGUUGCCAAAGGAAGGGGCAUUGGUUGCGAAGCUGCCCUAUUCACCUGAAAGGUCAUAAGGUUGAUCAAGUCAAGAGGUUUGACUCUACUUCGGGUAAAGUCCACUGUCUAACUCUAUUAAGUUCCUAUUUGGAGAUUCUUAUUACAUAAUGUGAAUGGGUCACAUGCUGAUGUUUUUAAGAAUCAAAGAAAAGAUAGGAAGCUUAAAGUAAGUAUAUGUUGAUUCUGAUUGCGAAGGUGGGUUUCGAUCGCAUGGUUCGGUAAUCAGAAUUUUGAGCUGUUGCUUAAGAGUUAUAAUAUAUUGCUUAUGAAUAGAUAACAACAAGGUUUUCAUGUGGAUUGUAAGGAUAAGUUUUUCCGCAAAGUUUUAAAAAAAAAAAAAAAAAAGGGUUUUAAUUUUAUUUAUUUUAAAAAUAUCCUUACAAUGGCAUCUGUGGAAAAUUGUUGCUUAUAUGUUUCCAGUAAUAGCAAUAUUGGAAAGUGGAUUUGAUUCUUUCAUUUGUGGUAGUGUCUGAAUUUACCAAAUGAAGAAAGUUUUUCAUCACCCAAGUUUCAAUUGGACAGAAACUUGGAAUCAUACAAGUUGUAUUGUAUGAUGAAUGAGAAUUUUCAUCUUUGAAAAUUAAGACUAAUUCUUUGAUCACAUGUAUAUGUGAGUCAAUUGAAGGACUAAGGAAUUAGGUACACUGGGUGUGCGCUGGUCAAGGUCCACCACAAAGAUUGAUUUGUCAUGAUUUACUAAAGAUUAGUAAAUAUGAUUAUACUUAUGAGGUUAAGUAUAAUUCUGUAACAUUGGAAAGGUUACAAUGUAUGACAAAACAAAUGAGAAGAAUCAAAUUAGGCAGAAAGAUAAAAGUUUCUCAAAUCUGAAAGGAUGGGAGAGUACUUUAGUAUCGUAUUUCAUGAUCAUCUUAAUGAUUAUGAAACCAUAUCACAAAUUCAUACUCUAAGGACGUCUUAGUGCAUUGUUAUGGCUAAGAAGAGAGGUCAUGAAUUGUUGGAUUGGUUAAAAUCAAGAAGAUGAGUCAUACUUCGUUCCAAAACAAUUCUUAGAGUCAUACUCCAAGAUUGUAACUUUGAGUGACAUAAAGGAAGAUUUAUUAACACUAGUCAAAUGUAAGAGUAAAAUGUUUUCUACUCUUGUACAUUUGAGAUUGGUAAGUUGUGAUGUCUUGGAUGAGACAAAGACCAACUAAGACCAAUUGUGUGAAGUGUUAGUCUUGAUAAGAAUCCGCACUAUCCCUUGAAUAUUUGUUUUGUCAAGGAAUGGUUCUUGACUGGGGAAACUUAUAUGUCAAGGGGACAGUGGGAGCCUUAAAGAUCCUGAAAGAGUUUCAAGAUUUAAUCAAGAGUAAAACCUGUAAUUUAUCACUAGCACACGACUUAAGGUUUGCAACCUAUCGUGUUGACAUAAUUCUUAUUUCUGUACCUACUUCAAAUAAGUUGAAUUUGCAUGUGAGUUAUCAGAGUUCAACUUGGAAGCAUUGGUGGGCCUUGUGCUACCAAGGUGACAAGAAACUAAGAUUGAACAAGUUUAAUCCAUGUAAGGCUGAAUUUGUCACUAACCUUAUCUUGUGAUUAUGGUUUUGACAAAUUCACAUGGAUAGGAACUCAUACACUAUAAAAUCUAAGUGUCAUAAGGUUUCUCUCCGAUUCAUGAAAAUGAUGGUGAGGAAACACUUCCACCAAGUAGAUUUGAAGUAGAUAGCGAUUGUGAUAUUUGCAUUCUCCAAGUCUUUAGUGGAGCUGUGUGGUUAACUGGCACACUAACAUGGACUUGUGAGAAGUGGCACAAUGGUCUAAACAAUUGACAUUAUGAUUACGGUAUCCCUUUUCAUAGUUCUAAAAUGUGUUUAGACACACAUGUGAGCUAUCUAAGAAAGGGUGUAUGAAUCUAAAUUUCAGAAGUCCAGCAGAUUUCUGGAAAUAUGUCAGAGCUAGUGGGAGCAUAAGUGUUAUGCUGAUAAUCAUCAUGUUAGUGGGAGCAUGAUUAUUAUGUUUAGUGUUGCAAGUUAGCAAUGUUAAUUAUAGAAAACAAAGUUUCAAUUCGUGAAGUUGCAGGGGUUGAAAAGUUGUUUUGCUAUAAUUAAGGGAGAGGAAAUUAUACUUCAUUUCAAUUCUAAAGCUUAGAUUGAGAUUUUAAUCAUCUUUAGUCAAGAAUAUAUAUAUGAAUUUUAUGUUGGAAUGGUUCAACUUGAAGAAAUUCUAUAUAUAUUGCGUUUUCAAAAUUCGAUUAUGAUUACGGCAUCCCUCUUCAUAGUUAAAUUUUGAAAACAUGGCAAAUAAAAAAUAUUGUAGCAAAAGACUGGUCUAGUAUCAUGUCUUUAUGUCAAACAUCAUGAAUCGUGUCCCAUAUGCUUCGGAUAUAGGAUCGAUUGCAUGUGCUAUAAUAUUCAUCUUUUCUAAAUUUUCCAAAUGCUUAAGGCAUUGAGAAGGGAAAAGUCUAGAACUGGAUAUGACUAAAGUGAUUAAGCAAUUGUCGAGGACAAUCUGAGGUUCGCCAAAGAUUGGUUGCUCAGGGAAAGUUGGAAGUAUGAUGUAAGUUGUCGGAAAGGACCAUAUUGACAUAUUCUGAAAAGAAGUAACUCUUGUUCGGAAGUGAUAGUCAAAAUGGGACUAUGGAAAUGUCUCCAUAGGUGGAAGUUAUUCAAUCUAUGUAAGAUUAGAAAACCUUAAUGCAAGAAGGAUGUUCAAAGCAAUGUACUUUGAAUAUGAGACUUCCGUUCCAUAGAAGUUGACCUUCUUUGGAAUACUCUGUAAUGACUGGUGACAAGGUUUUGGUGACUUUGUGCAUAAUCAUUACAAGAGGAACAUUGCAUAAAAGUUUAAAAUCUAACAGUUUUUUUGGUAAAUGAUAGGAAUCGGGGAUUCUCACAUUUACAAUAAGGAUUUGGGAUUGUGAAAUGAGUAUCAUUGGAAUCAUGUUCAAUUGAUCUACAUCACAAUGUAAGGAUCAUAGACAAACAUAGUGUGCAUACUUGGAGUAUGGCAUAACUAUUGUUUAGAAAAACAAAGUGUACAUGCUAGGAGCAUGGGACGACUGUUGUUUUUAUUCAAGUCUUAAGUUGAUUGUUUGAAACAUUAUACAAUGAAUAAUGUGUAAUCAAUAUGGUGAUAAAUAAAAGGUGGUUCUAUUUAUAUUCAAAAGGGUUCUGAGACCAUAUUGGAUUCGAUUAUUAUUGUGUUUCACUUUGCAUGUUUUGACUUCCAAAAUAGCUAGGUUAUUCUUUCCGAAUGACUAAGUUAUUUAAACACUCCACAGUCGUUCAUAUGUUGGAAGUAGGUAUGAAUCAAGACUGUCAUGAAUCGAGUUUGUAGAUGGCUAAAUGGGUUUAGUCAUAGCAAUGGUUGCUACAACAUUCAUGAGUGCUCAUAAGUUAUGAGUAUUGGAAUAAACCCACGCUCACUUGUAUCACUUCAUGGAAUUUAUCUCGAGUGAUCGUGAGACGGUAAUAUCAUAUAAAUCUUCAAACCUAGAGAUAUGAGUUGUUACCUAUGAGUUGGUUGUGCAUUGAUUGCACGUAAACGCAUCAGUAACUUGAUGUUAUAAAACGUGCCUUUGUGUACAAUUCAACAAGUAGUAGAACAAGCAUAUGAGUCGAAGUUUAUCUGUUCCUUCUAGAAAUAGAAGCGAUAUUUGGGCCCCUCGAUGAUUUUGUUGUGACCUAUGUACCGGCCGGUCAGAACUAAAUUGAUGUGUUCGAUUAAGUUCUUUGUCAAACAAAUCGAAAAUCGGGAAACAAACUGCUGGACAAUAAGUACGACGUUGUUCCAUGUAUUUGUCCGGCUGAUAUCAUGAGAACAGAGGAUUAUAUGAUCACUUAUCUAAAAUGGCGCUUCAUAGUUCAACAGAGUUUUCGAGAGCUACGAUUGCUGGUUGGUUCCUGAAGUAACAUACGCAAAUAUAGUUAUUAGACUUAUCCAAGUGGGAGUCUGUUGGAUAAGGUGUCUAAGUCCAUAACUUAUUUGGUAUAUACUUGACCCGACCCGGCAUGGUCCAUUUGGGUUGCACUUCACCCGAACUAUUUAUGGAUAAUUUUAUGAGAGUUAUACACAUAUGUUUAUUAAUAUAUUAUAAGUUAUAAUAUAUUAAUAUGAAGUCAUGUUAUUUAAUUAGUCUUAGUCUUAAAUUAAUUAUGAAUUAAUUUAGAGAUUAAAAGGAAGACUAAUUAGAUUGUGGGCUAUUAGUUUUAUAUAGUGUGGGCUAACACUCAUUUGUUAAUGGGCUAGGCUUGUGUGGAAGUCCAUGGAUGAUCCAUGGAGAUUUUAACACAUGGAUCCUUGGAAAAGGAAAGGUCAUGGGUUAUUAGGGUUUCACCCUAAUCAUGUACACUAUAUAAGCAUGCUUAUGUUGCAUGAAAUAGCUACUAGUGUCACUAGUGUGUGUGCUUGUGUGUGGCCGAAAAAUUACAAGUGUGUGUACACUCUCUAAAGUUUUCCAAGAGUUUGUGGUGAUUUGUGAUUCCAUUUGAGGCAUUCACACUAUUGGUGCUUGGCCCUCAAACUCCUUAGGAAUCAAACUCAUCAUCAAAAGGUAUGUAAUCUCAUCUAAUUCUUUUAUGUUUAAAAGUACCCCAUGCCAUGUUAAAUAGGUUAUGAACCUUGGAAAAUUAUUAUUUUGCAUGUAUUUAGACAAACAUAGAUCCAAGGUUUAUUAGGGUUGCAU
This 7197-nucleotide long non-coding RNA is filed under the name Lactuca sativa (garden lettuce). Its description in RNAcentral is "long non-coding RNA (LSAT_LNC004566)". The record is from RNAcentral. Lineage: Eukaryota; Viridiplantae; Streptophyta; Magnoliopsida; Asterales; Asteraceae.